Molecule: small nuclear RNA, 108 nt
Filed under: Mus pahari (shrew mouse)
Lineage: Eukaryota; Metazoa; Chordata; Mammalia; Rodentia; Muridae
Source: RNAcentral
GUGCUCCCUUCGGCAGCACAUAUACUAAAAUUGGAAUGAUACAGAGAAGAUUAACAUGGCCCCUGUGCAAGGAUGAUAUGCAAAUUCAUGAAGUGUUCCAUAUUUAAA